GAUGAACGCUGGCGGCGUGCCUAAUACAUGCAAGUCGAGCGAACAGACGAGGAUCUUGCUCCUCUUACGUUAGCGGCGGACGGGUGAGUAACACGUGGAUAACCUGCCUAUAAGACUGGGGUAACUUCGGGAAACCGGAUCUAAUACCGGAUAAUAUAUUGAACCUCAUGGUUCAAUAGUGAAAGACGGUUCUGCUGUCACUUAUAGAUGGAUCCGCGCCGCAUUAGCUAGUUGGUAAGGUAACGGCUUACCAAGGCAAUGAUGCGUAGCCGACCUGAGAGGGUGAUCGGCCACACUGGAACUGAGACACGGUCCAGACUCCUACGGGAGGCAGCAGUAGGGAAUAUUCCGCAAAGGGCGAAAGCCUGACGGAGCCACGCCGCGUGAGUGAUGAAGGUCUUCGGAUCGUAAAACUCUGUUAUUAGGGAAGAACAAAUGUGUAAGUAACUAUGCACGUCUUGACGGUACCUAAUCAGAAAGCCACGGCUAACUACGUG
This 497-nucleotide ribosomal RNA is filed under the name uncultured bacterium. RNAcentral's name for it is "partial 16S ribosomal RNA". It matches the Rfam family "Bacterial small subunit ribosomal RNA", at positions 28 to 507 of the family's 1533-position model. The record is from RNAcentral.